GUAAAUGAAAAUGUAAAUGAAAAUGAAGGUUAUAAUGACGGUCAAGAAGAUGACAAAAAUGAUGAAAAUAAUGUUUUGUCAAAAGAAAAAAAUUUAAAAUAUUCAAAAAAAAAAAUGUUACCGUUUUUACCUAUCGAAACACAUAAAUUAGCAAAGUUUUGUAAUGUUAUAAGAGAUUAUGAAAAAGAUUAUAAUUUAAACUUGUCUGUACAUAGUCAAUGGUUACCUGUUUUAUUUAAUAUGCCAAUUGUUAAUAAAUUACCACAUUGGGUUAAAAAAUGUAAAUAUUGUUGUUUCAAAAUGACUGAGUUGAAUAAUAUUCAAAAUAGUAAAGAAAGCAUCACUUCUUUUUUAUCUAAUCAUCAAGAAAAUGAAAAACAAACGGAAGAUAAAACAGAAAAUAAAAUAGAGGAUAAAAUAGAGGAUAAAAUAGAGGGUGAUAUUAAGAAAGGUAAGAAUAAUAAUAGUAAUGAAAAUAUUGAUGAAAAAGAUGAAACGAAUAAUGAACGUGAUAAAAAACAGGAUGAUGGUGAUGGUGAUGAUGUAGAAAAUAAUAAUAAAAAUGAUAAAAAUGACAAAAAUGAUAAAAAUGAUAUGAACGAAUAUAAUGACUCAAAUGUUGAUGGAAAUAAUGAUAACGAAAAAAAUACAGAUGUUGAAGAAAAAGAAAAUGAUAAAGAUAAAAAUGAUCAAAAAGAUAAUAAUAAUAAUAAUAAUCAAAAAAAUAAAAAAAAAAAUAAAGAAAAAAAAGAAGAUACUGAUGAAUAUAAUGUUUUAAAAAUACCACCACAAGUUUUUGAUUAUCCAAUUGAUCAAUUAGGUCAUGUAAAUGAAUGCUUUUUAUUUAAACUUUAUUCUAUUAAUAGUAAAAGUAUUUUAAUUUCAAGACUAACAUUAAAAUAUGAUCCUAGAAUAUCAGGAUGGAAAGGAGAUAAUAAAAUUAAAAAAGAUAUGAUAAACAAUAUGUCUAUGAAUAUGAACAAUAUGUCUAUGAAUAUGAAUAAUAUUUCGAUGAAUAUGAAUAAUAUGCCUAUGAAUAUGAAUAUAAUGAAAAAUAUGAACAUGAUGAACAUGCAUAAAUAUAAAGGUGGUAAAUACAAAAAUAAUAAAUCAGUUAAUCCAAAUAUUGCAAGUAUGACAAACAUGGCCAACAUAACAAAUAUGGCAGCUGGAAUGACAGGCAUGACAAACAAUAUGAUGAAUCCAUACAUGAAUGGCACAUAUAACCCUAAUUAUCGAAACAAUAUGUAUGACCAAAAUAUUCCUAUUCCACCUCCCAUGAAUAAUUUUAACAAAAAAAUGUACCAAGGACAUAAUAUGAACAUUAAAAGAAAAAACGAUUUAUACAAUUGUGAUAGCAUGGAAAAGUGCUACGAUAACUAUAAUAUGAAGGAUAACUACAAAUCAGAUGACGAUAGCUGUAAGAACUUCAUUUCUUAGUUUUAAUACGUGUGUAAUAUAAACUUUGUUUUGUGUAUAAUAUAAGCGUUUUAAUAAAAAAAAAAAAAAAAAA
RNAcentral lists this long non-coding RNA (1513 nucleotides) under Piliocolobus tephrosceles (Ugandan red Colobus). RNAcentral's name for it is "lncRNA (ENSPTEG00000013055.1)". Lineage: Eukaryota; Metazoa; Chordata; Mammalia; Primates; Cercopithecidae. The record is from RNAcentral.